CAGCAGAAAGGAUGACAGAGAGCAGUGGACUCACACUUUAACAAUAUGGACUUCAGGGCAGGACUGCUGCUUUUAACUGUGUUCUUGGCAGGUGUUGAAAGUCAGACUAUAACACAGUCUGAAUCAGUGGUUAAAAGGCCAGCAGAUUUCCACAGACUGACCUGUACAGGCUCCAACAUUGAUUUCAGUAGCAGGUGGAUGGCCUGGAUCAGACAGGCUCCUGGAAAAGGACUGGAGUGGAUUGCAAUCAUCGAAUAUGACAGUGAUAACAUCUUUUAUUCUCAGUCAGUUCAGGGCAGGUUUACCAUCUCCAGAGACAACAGCAAAGAGGAGCUGUAUCUGCAGAUGAACAGCCUGAAGACUGAAGACACUGCUGUUUAUUAUUGUGCUCGAGAGCCACAGUGACUGGAGCUGGUUGAAUGGCUGUACAAAAUCCACCAUAAUGUAUGUUUGUUAAAAAUACAACUUAAGACUAUUCUCUCAUACCCCAGAGACAAUGCUUGUAUGAUUUUGUUGUUAAAAUCAUUGCCAGGAAGAGAAACAACCACAAAUUUUUGUAUUCUGAACGAAAAGUAGUGCUUAUCAGAACAUUGUAGGUCAGUCAGUGUCACAUCUGUCCAUGACUUUUGAAUUAGGCUAUUUUGUCUAUUUUAACAAAAAGAAAAGAAAAAACAAAGGAGAAACCCUGAUUAUGAUCUUUUCUUAACUUUGAUCACUCUUUAGCUUUCAGUUACUCCUGGUGUCAUUAAUUCAUACUGUCCAGUACUCCCCUUCUUCUAAUACCAAGUCACAUCCUCCUUAACCCUUCAGUCAUACUGCAAGCUGCACCCAUACAAAUGUGCAAAAUGUCUUCAUCUGUAUCAUUUCAGGAGGUGAGCGCGAGGAAGAGAAACUGAGCUUUGCAUAUCUGCUUAUUCACUGUCAACUAAACUCUGUGUCUGUUUCAGCUGCUUGUGAUCACACUGAAUCUUCUGUUAUCAAAAUUAUUAAAACCAUUUGUAUAGAAUGAAGAAAUAUAACUGUUUAUAUUAAACCAUAUUCACUAAAUAGGUUUGUUUUUAUAACACAAAUGUAGGUUUUGACUGAUAGGGUAUGAGACAAACAUACAGCUCAUCCUGUCCUGUAUUUUUCUUUUUUAAUGCCGGCGCACAUCCUUCUGAUUCCCACCCAUUCUGCAAAUUGUCACCAUCACAAAAGUGCAAAUUAUCUUCAUUUUUGGUAUCUUUUUGCUGGGAGGAAGAGAAGAAGCUAAAUGUAUUAUUCCCGACUGUGAACAACAAGUUUUAUUGGGAAAAUGCGUUAAAUUUCUUUAAUUCAUUUUAAAAGGACCUUUCUGAGAAUGUGCAGUAGGCUACGAAAAUGUGUCUAAAGAAAGUUAGAAACAGCUGAGAACCAAAGUCAUUGACAUCUGUCAGUCUGGGAAUGGUUACGAAGCCAUUUCUCAGGCUUUGGGACUCCAGGGAACCACAUUCAGAGCCAUUAUCCAAAAAUGGAGAAAAGUUGUAUAUUGUGUUAUGUAGCCUCCCAGGAGUGGUCAGCAAAAAAUGACUCAUUCAGGAGAUCACAAAAGAUCCCAGAACAA
Molecule: non-coding RNA, 1582 nt
Organism: Haplochromis burtoni (Burton's mouthbrooder)
Lineage: Eukaryota; Metazoa; Chordata; Actinopteri; Cichliformes; Cichlidae
Source: the annotation of a RefSeq genome assembly